UACGUAGGGUGCGAGCGUUUGUCCGGAAUUAUUGGGCGUAAAGAGCUCGUAGGCGGUUUGUCGCGUCUGCCGUGAAAGUCCGGGGCUCAACUCCGGAUCUGCAGUGGGUACGGGCAGACUAGAGUGCGGUAGGGGGUGACUGGAAUUCCUGGUGUAGCGGUGGAAUGCGCAGAUAUCAGGAGGAACACCGAUGGCGAAGGCAGGUCACUGGGCCGCAAACUGACGCUGAGGGAGCGAAAGCAUGGGGAGCGAACAGG
This 257-nucleotide ribosomal RNA is filed under the name uncultured bacterium. RNAcentral's name for it is "partial 16S ribosomal RNA". It matches the Rfam family "Bacterial small subunit ribosomal RNA", at positions 524 to 776 of the family's 1533-position model. The record is from RNAcentral.